AGAGUCAAGAGCCCGAGUCAAUAGGAAACCAGUUCCAAGGGACUCAGCUAAGCCACUCAGAGAAAAAAAGACCUGAGCUUUAUUCGGAGAGGAAAAAAAAAAAAAAUGGUCACUGGAUAGAUGGUCCCUUUGGAUCACGUGCUCAUCCCUGGCCCAGUCAGCUGUGAUCAGAGGAGCAAGACCGUGAGAUAAGGCUUGAAACCUAAGGAAUUUCAAAGAGGGGGCCAUGAUGGGCAUUCAGCGGCAUCUCAGGAGGGGGCAGAGUAACCAGCAGGUGCUUUGCAUGCUGGUCUGGUGUGUCUGGAAAAGGCAUCCCGCUAAAACGUUUGUCAGGAAACUUCUCAUCAGCAUUUCCAGCAUGCAGGAGCAACCAAGAGAGCCACUUAGAUACCAUUUGAUUAUAAUGUGUUUCUCAGAGAAAUAAAUAGCCCAAAUGGAAGCACA
This 444-nucleotide long non-coding RNA is filed under the name Homo sapiens (human). RNAcentral describes it as "novel transcript". The record is from RNAcentral. Lineage: Eukaryota; Metazoa; Chordata; Mammalia; Primates; Hominidae.